This 806-nucleotide ribosomal RNA is filed under the name uncultured bacterium. RNAcentral describes it as "bacterial SSU rRNA". It matches the Rfam family "Bacterial small subunit ribosomal RNA", at positions 1 to 814 of the family's 1533-position model. The record is from RNAcentral.
GAAUUCGCCCUUAGAGUUUGAUCCUGGCUCAGGACGAACGCUGGCGGCGCGCCUAACACAUGCAAGUCGAACGAGCGAGAGAGAGCUUGCUUUCUCGAGCGAGUGGCGAACGGGUGAGUAACGCGUGAGGAACCUGCCUCAAAGAGGGGGACAACAGUUGGAAACGACUGCUAAUACCACAUAAGCCCACGGCUCGGCAUCAAGCAGAGGGAAAAGGAGCAAUCCGCUUUGAGAUGGCCUCGCGUCCGAUUAGCUAGUUGGUGAGGUAACGGCCCACCAAGGCGACGAUCGGUAGCCGGACUGAGAGGUUGAACGGCCACAUUGGGACUGAGACACGGCCCAGACUCCUACGGGAGGCAGCAGUGGGGAAUAUUGUACAAUGGGGGAAACCCUGAUGCAGCGACGCCGCGUGGAGGAAGAAGGUCUUCGGAUUGUAAACUCCUGUUGUUGGGGAAGAUAAUGACGGUACCCAACAAGGAAGUGACGGCUAACUACGUGCCAGCAGCCGCGGUAAAACGUAGGUCACAAGCGUUGUCCGGAAUUACUGGGUGUAAAGGGAGCGCAGGCGGGAAGACAAGUUGGAAGUGAAAUCUAUGGGCUCAACCCAUAAACUGCUUUCAAAACUGUUUUUCUUGAGUAGUGCAGAGGUAGGCGGAAUUCCCGGUGUAGCGGUGGAAUGCGUAGAUAUCGGGAGGAACACCAGUGGCGAAGGCGGCCUACUGGGCACCAACUGACGCUGAGGCUCGAAAGUGUGGGUAGCAAACCAGGAUUAGAUACCCUGGUAGUCCACACCGUAAACGAUGAUU